Alosa alosa (allis shad) is the source of this 269-nucleotide long non-coding RNA. RefSeq lists it as uncharacterized. The record is from RefSeq and is a predicted model, not a curated record. Lineage: Eukaryota; Metazoa; Chordata; Actinopteri; Clupeiformes; Clupeidae. The transcript has 3 exons.
CCACACGACUACACGGACUCCACGGAACACGCAAACACAGAACCUGCCUGCCAAGACAGCCUGUCAGUGACAACACACAAGGGUUCCGUAGAUCUGCUGAACCCAGAGGACGCUCACAGAAUCCGAAUCAAGAUCGCUGACCUGGGAAACUCCUGCUGGGUGCAUAAGCACUUCUCUGAGGACAUCCAGACGUGUCAGUAUCGCGCCAUCGAGGUUCUGAUUGGUGCAGAGUACGAUACACCUGCAGACAUAUGGAGCACUGCCUGCAU